GCUAAAAAACAAAACACGCGCACGCAUUCAGUUGGCAGCCUGAUGUUCUUCAUCGGCCACAGGCUGCUCCAACAUUGGCUUGACCACAGCCACUGCAGACCCACCUACGGCAGCCACCUCCUGCUCCACGGCAACAGGCCAAUCCUCCUCCAGCGUCUCCGGCACCACCAAUACGGCAUCCUGCGAGAUGGGGACAUCACCUUC
Molecule: long non-coding RNA, 204 nt
Filed under: Panicum hallii
Lineage: Eukaryota; Viridiplantae; Streptophyta; Magnoliopsida; Poales; Poaceae
Description: long non-coding RNA (PHAL_LNC000903)
Source: RNAcentral